GGUGAGAUGGCUCAGUGGCUAAGAGCAUUGGCCGCUCCUCCAGAGGACCUGGGUUCAAUUCCCAGCACCC
This 70-nucleotide transfer RNA is filed under the name Neotoma lepida (desert woodrat). It matches the Rfam family "tRNA". Rfam says of the family: Transfer RNA (tRNA) molecules are approximately 80 nucleotides in length. Their secondary structure includes four short double-helical elements and three loops (D, anti-codon, and T loops). Lineage: Eukaryota; Metazoa; Chordata; Mammalia; Rodentia; Cricetidae. The record is from Rfam by way of RNAcentral.